GAUGAAGGGCGUGCUAAUCUGCGAUAAGCGCCGGUAAGGUGAUAUGAACCGUUAUAACCGGCGAUACCCGAAUGGGGAAACCCAGUGUGACUCGUCACACUAUCAUUAACUGAAUCCAUAGGUUAAUGAGGCGAACCGGGGGAACUGAAACAUCUAAGUACCCCGAGGAAAAGAAAUCAACCGAGAUUCCCCCAGUAGCGGCGAGCGAACGGGGAGGAGCCCAGAGCCUGAAUCAGCAUGUGUGUUAGUGGAAGCGUCUGGAAAGGCGCGCGAUACAGGGUGACAGCCCCGUACACAAAAGCGCAUGUGCUGUGAGCUCGAUGAGUAGGGCGGGACACGUGGUAUCCUGUCUGAAUAUGGGGGGACCAUCCUCCAAGGCUAAAUACUCCUGACUGACCGAUAGUGAACCAGUACCGUGAGGGAAAGGCGAAAAGAACCCCGGCGAGGGGAGUGAAAAAGAACCUGAAACCGUGUACG
This 477-nucleotide ribosomal RNA is filed under the name Salmonella enterica subsp. enterica serovar Enteritidis. RNAcentral's name for it is "partial 23S ribosomal RNA". It matches the Rfam family "Bacterial large subunit ribosomal RNA", at positions 48 to 563 of the family's 2925-position model. Lineage: Bacteria; Pseudomonadati; Pseudomonadota; Gammaproteobacteria; Enterobacterales; Enterobacteriaceae. The record is from RNAcentral.